Long non-coding RNA from Gavialis gangeticus (Gharial), 5472 nucleotides. RefSeq lists it as uncharacterized. NCBI's taxonomy places the organism in Eukaryota, Metazoa, Chordata, Crocodylia, Gavialidae. The transcript is spliced from 2 exons. The record is from RefSeq and is a predicted model, not a curated record.
AAAAAAAAAAAAAAAAAGAAAGGAAAAGCAUUAAAUAUCUGACGUGACUUCAUAAAUAUUUUGAUUAAGCUAUUGGGAGUGGUAUGUAAAAUAUAAAAUAAAUUGUUCCUGGAAGGCCUUACUUUUUUUUAAACAAUGGUGCCCCUAAGUUACAAGAGCUAUACAUUACAGUAUUAAUUACUGAGGCUAUGUUAUGACAUGUUACAUCGCACCUGCAUUUAAUAGAAUGUGAUGAGACUUUUUCUAUAUCAACUUGUGAUUUUUAGUACAAGAACACCUUUUAUAAAUAUACUGUCUUGUUAGAAAUGUAAAUCUUGUAGCUUUCUAUAAUAGGUGCUUGGAAAAUGCACAAGAGAUUUAGCUUUGAAUCUCAGGUACCUCUGAUAUAGUGGUGACAUGCUGAAUAUUUUUUACAUGACAUGCAACUGGAAUCAGUUUCUUGUUACAGUAAUGUGAAGGAAUUCUCUUGUUUUAAAUUUUGCAUCAUCAUUGUGUGCUGGCAUAACUGGACAAUGUUCUGUUUCACUUUAAUGUCUUGAUUCUGACUUAUUUCCUGUAGGAAGUGCAUACACUUAAUGGAUCCUAAUCUUCUAACUUUGAAUUAAGCAUUACUUUGAAUGCUGUUGCACACGUGAAGAGCAGUGAUUCCCAUAUAUGCCUAAAUAGAAAAAGAAUGCCACGUGUGUAAGGUCUGCCUAGCAAUGAACUCAUUUUUGUAACAUCCCUAUGAGGCAGCUAAAUAAUUAUCAUCUUUUCUACACAUGAAGAUGUUUUUACAUUAACUUAUUUUUCUAAAAUGUCACAGAAUGAAUCUGAGAAUUUAGGAGUCUGAUGAGAGUCUUGUGAACUAUAUAAUAUAGUGCUUUGCAAUCCAGCUUUUGUGUUACAUUCAGCUUGAUCCAUUAGAUACAGAAAAUUGCAUUAACUUCUUACUGCUUGUGUCUGCAGUGCAAGGCACUUAAACACGUGUGAUCUCAAGCACCUGAGUAACCCCGAUGUAGUGUCACACACAUGAUUCAAUACUUUGCUGGACUUGUGUCUUCAGUGACCACAUCCUUUAAAAUGCACAAGGGCAUUUUAAAGUGAAGGCUGAAAAUACAGUAUUGAACAUGUUGGGCAUGUGAUACUUGACACUGCACCUGUUGUAUGCACUGCAUGUAGCUAUAACUAUUUGCAUUGCAUACCUCUCUUAACAUGCCAGGCAAGAAAAGUUAGAGUCUGAUGAUUGAUUUUCCUUGCCUUAUGCCAUUAUAAUUGCCAUUCUGUCUUUUGCUUAUCCCAACUGUGCCUAGGUAUUGCUGUUUACUGUAGUAAUUGCUUUAAUUAAGGUGUCAGAGUGACAACUUUGUGACACCUGGCUCCAUAUUUAUAAUUUUUUUUGAAGAAAAUGCUGAUUAUGUUGAAUUUUGCAAUUUUUGAUCCCUAUUUAAAAGAGACAUCUGUCUUGGAGAAACAAGUGAAUUGCACUGAGCCUAUUUUAAGUUACAAGAAGAGAAAGGAUUAGAAAACCAGUUGGAUGCAAGGUGAAUUUAUGCAUGCAAAGUCUAAUUUAGCAUUGAAAUAGCCUCAGGAAGACAUAGACUCUUAGCUGAUUUCUUAUUGCUUCAGUGACUCUAAAUAAAAUUAAAAGGCAGUAAGUUAAUGUUAGGAGUUAAGGUUUCUAGUGCAGUGCUGAGUGAUAGGACUACACUGUAUUCAUAUUUUUUAUCCCAGUGUAAACCCUUAUUAUGAUAUUACCAUUUUUUUAAAAGAUCUGUAUACCGUAAUAUAUGUUGCCUCUGCUAUUUGUUAGGUUGUUUUUUUUUAUAUUUUAGGCUGCAGCCAAAGCUUUAUCUCGUAAUAUUUCCUGGCAGGCUGUGGCAGGUAGAGUGUGGGAGUGUGUUCAGUUUCUCCUGCCUCCCAACACUGCUGAAGCAACACUACUAGUUCUUUGUGCUGUAUAUAAAAUGUCUCGUGGCAUUAUCUCUGAGAGAAAUGGAAAUGAUUUUCUACAGAGCACAAAGUGAUUACUUAUACCAAAUGGGGUGAUUUGAAAACAAAAUGGCAGUCAUUUGUAAGUUUCAUUCAGCUGUUUAAUAUCGUAGCUUUCAUGUUUAAUUUCCUUUCAGAAAAACAGCUGCAUACAUAGAUUUAUACUUCAUGUGGUUUAUCUGCAUGGUUGUACCUUAUAUCAUCUGCCCAGGAUAACAUAGCAGUUAAUAGGACCAUGCUGAUUUCCACCCCCUCCAAAGCUGCCUGUGUACCAGUGGUAGUAUAGUGAUGCUGAUAUUCAGGGUGUUCUAAUCUAAGACAUAACUGAGGCAGAAUCCCUGAUACCGGAGUGGAGUGCUAGUGUCCAAGUACUAACACCAAUACAUUCCUUAAUAUAAAUGAAAUUUUGCAAAGGACAGACCAUUCAGUUUUUGUGUAUUUUUCUCUUAGCAGAGUUACUUCCUGAGCUAACUUAAGAUUUGAUCUAAAGCCUACUGAAGUUUUUAGGAGCCAUUGCAUGGCCAGUCAGACCUACUGGCUGCUGACACACAUUUUGGUAAAGGUCUGAUUGUCAGUUGGCUCUAGAGACUGACUGGGCCAGUUUGAUCCCCCAGGGCCAGUCCCUGAUCAGCUGAUCGGUGACUUGCAGGGACCACACUGGAGGCCAUUAGAGCCAUUAGAACCUGGCCACACAUUCAUCUGCCAUUUGAAAUCAGCCACAAAUUUUAUUACACAUUUUUUCAUAAUAAAUGUUGUGGCUUUCUUUGCUUUUUGUUGUGCCAUUAAUCACCUGAAUUUGUGGCCAGGCAACACUAUACGAUACAAUUAACUGGUCUUAAUCACAGCUAAGUAACAUGGUCUAAGUAACUGAUUUAAGUAACGUCUGCAAAGGACAUACUGAAAGGCUAUCUCAAUCAGUUUGAUCUUUCUUUCUGUACAGUAUUUCCACAUACGGUUUACCUUUGGAAUAUUCUUUAUUAAAAUAUUGCAUGGUAUCACCCAGUGGGUCUUAAUGCAGUAAAAAAAAAUCCAGUGAUCCUUUAAAAACAAUCAUUUUCUUCUUCUCCAAAAAAGGGUUCUGUAGAAAGGCAGCUAUUAGUCGUUCAUUUAUUACCUUCCUUACAAUUGCUGUGCUUCUGUAACAAAAAAAUGAAUUUUUGUUUUAUAUUAGUGCUGGGUUUGUUUUCUUUUUUGUUUUGUUUUGUUAUUUUUGUUGCUGUGCACCUUGAGCAUUUUGGCUGGGAAUGCGCCGCAAAGAUGUGAAUAUCCCACAAAGUAAAUAUGAUGCCAGGGACGUUUGUAUGGUUAUUGAUGCACAAUUUGAUGUUGUUCUGUUAUAAAAAUACCUAGUCUCAUGCUGAGGGCAUCUAGCCUAGCACUAAGUGUAUAACAUGCAAAUCCCUACAUGCUCAUUAGUUGCAGCCUAACAUUUUACAGCUCUUGACAACAAACAUAGCCACUCUUUCCAAUUACUCCAUCCUUUUUAUCACUGCCCUUAUAAACCUGACCUAUUGUUUUAGAGGGAGAUUUGCCUUGCCUAAUGAGUAAUUGUUAAAAGAAUUAAAUGAUAAAAUUAUUUUUUCUCCUGUCUUCUACAUUCAGAAAUAGAAGGGGGAGAAGGAAUCCAGCCUCACACCAGGCAAGGGGUUUCAUUUUUUUAAAAAGUAAAAAUAAGUUUUAAAAAUUCAUUGGACAGAUCACAACUUUGUUGAACAUCUUUUAGCUGCAAAAUGGUGAGAGGAGAACUCAUUAAAACAACAGUUCUAAUUAGGAAUGCUUGCUGUUAACUUGGCAAUAACUGUAUCCUGGGUUAAUAGGCCCGUCUCCAUUUGACAUUGAAAACUUAUUUAACACAGAAUGUGGGUACUAGUUCAGUGAGUGCUCUAGAGUUAACUGAGUAACAAUGCUGAAAUCUGACCUUUGAAUCUUAAUUGUUUAAUUGCAGAUUGUGAAAGGCUUGGAAGUACUUUGAUUAGACCAUGCACAUGCUAAGAAAUUUUGAUUCCGUUUUAAAGCGACCUGAUAGAUAAAACUGUGAUCCAAUUGCUAGUAAAUGUCCUGUGCAUUUAGGCUUAAAAGUCAAUACCAAAUUGGGAGAGGCAGUUUAAACAAACUUACAUUAAACAUAGUCACUUAAUCAACCUUUUGUUGACUUCCAUGUUGAACUCAAGGUAGAUCUGAUUUUAGCGCUGGCUCGUGAUAGCCGAGUGAUUCCUGGUAGCGACUUCAGGUUUGAUAGCUUGACUCAUUUUUGAGGUAGAGAUGUAAAAGGUGAGCUUAUUUCCAAAACAUUUUUUUUUAGCCUUUUUUUUUUUUUUUUGUGAUAACAGGUGGCUAACUAACCUUUUCAAAUCUUUUAGAAUUUAAAGAUGAUCAAAACCCAUAAUUUUUAACUGGAAAUUUUUUUGCUUCAGAUUAUGGCAUUAAAAUGUUGUAAUAAAACUGAGCUCUGUGCAUCCUGAAAUUAUUUGAGAAACAAGACUUAAAGCAGACAGCCACUCUUGAGUGUCGCAAAACCACUAGAUUUAAGUGAUGAAGAUACUGUGCAUUUUUGUAUGAAGUGUUUAGAGGUUCCUAAUUAUUCAGAUGUUUCAAAAGCACAGAAGUUGUAGGUACACAUCUUCUAUAAAAUAUUUUUGUGUCACCAUAAUUUUGUAACACACUUUCCUUCGUGAGACUAGAGCCUCAAUUGCUGGUCACUGAUGCAUAUUGCAUUUGCACUUAAAUAAAUCCUAGUUUCAAAGUGUUUUAAACCUUGAUCUAUUUUUGAUAAACAGAAAUGUAGCAUUUUUAUCUGAUUUCCAGUCAGUGAUGAAUAUAUGCAUGGAGAGAAAAAUAUACUGACUUGACGCAGUGAUUUAAAACCAAGAAAGCAGCAGGAUGGCACUAGAAAUUGACAUAAAGAUGUAUGUCUCCUAUGGGAACUAUACCUCCAGUUCCUUGCUUGAUUACCAAAUUAUGCUCCCCAUUUAGUCCAGACUCUAUACUAGUGAAGCAGAGACUUGCCUUUACUUUUUAUGAGAAAAUACUGGCUUUAGCAUGGAGUUCCUUUGUCUGUUGCUUCAUUUUCUGAGGGACGUCAGUUAAAUUAAACAAAUAGCAUAGUGUUGUAUUUUUUAAACCACAAAAAUUAAAAUCAGAUUAAACUAUUAAUUAAUUAUUUUGGAAUUUGGAUGGUAUGAGUAGAGGUCUAAGAAGUAUAGGCAUAUAUUAGGAAUUUCAAACACUGCUUAUAUAUUUUUAAAAAAAAUCAAAGUAUGUAUGAUUAUUUGAAAUAUAUAAUGAUGAAAAUGAGAAAAGAUUGUUGUGUUGACAGAUUUAAAUUGGAAUUUUUAAUACUAUCCAAUACCAAAACCCUAUAAAAGGGCUAAUGAAAAGAAAAUAUUAUGUAUUCUAAUGAACAGCUUGUGUAAUACAAUCGGUGUGAUGUUUUUGUUCUGUAUUAUAUUUAUUGUAUGUCAGUAAAAAUAAAAAUUAUAUGUCUUGUUUCCUUAACAGAAA